CAGCCGCCGCGGUAAUACGGAGGGUGCAAGCGUUAAUCGGAAUUACUGGGCGUAAAGCGCACGCAGGCGGUCUGACAAGUCAGAUGUGAAAUCCCCGGGCUUAACCUGGGAACUGCAUUUGAAACUGUCAGGCUGGAGUCUUGUAGAGGGGGGUGGAAUUCCAGGUGUAGCGGUGAAAUGCGUAGAGAUCUGGAGGAAUACCGGUGGCGAAGGCGGCCCCCUGGACAAAGACUGACGCUCAGGUGCGAAAGCGUGGGGAGCAAACAGGAUUAGAUACCCGGUAGUCCCUGUCUCUUAUACA
This 301-nucleotide ribosomal RNA is filed under the name uncultured bacterium. Its description in RNAcentral is "partial 16S ribosomal RNA". It matches the Rfam family "Bacterial small subunit ribosomal RNA", at positions 509 to 808 of the family's 1533-position model. The record is from RNAcentral.